AUGACUUCUCCUUUGGUACCUGUGUUCUGUACUCCUGGUUUGAAAAUCCCUUCCAGGACAGAUAGUACAGUGUUACCCAAGUCACAAGAGAUAAACAAACUGCUUCUUCCUAAACAUACAGAAACGCCACCACCUCCAGAUUUUGAAACAAGAUGGCUCAAGGUAAAGCCAGGGGAAAAAGUUGGGUCAGUGACAGAAAGUGAUGCAAAAGAAAACCAAACCAUAGAAGAUAGCAUUCCUCCUACUGUGAGCUCCGAUGAGUAUCUUAAGCGUUUGGGAGACCCUUCUCCUCCUAAAAUAAAACAGUACGACCAUUUGCUCAGUACUCCUCCACCUCCAGAAAUAACAAGGAUACCAGAUGAUGUUCUACAGAUUCUGUCAAAGUAUAAUCAUAAAGUAGUAGACUCUUCUAAAGACAAGAAAAUGGAGACUAAGGCAGGAGGCACUACAAGAUUUGAAAGUGAUUCCACUGAUUACUGCAACAAAGAGAACAGGAUAUAAAACGUGUCAGCUAACAGAGCAUUCGCUCUCUAAUCCUAUUUGUUGUCAGAGGAGUGUCUCAAAUUGUUCUGCCUUGGAAGCCCCUAAAAGUG
Molecule: long non-coding RNA, 593 nt
Filed under: Anas platyrhynchos platyrhynchos (common mallard)
Lineage: Eukaryota; Metazoa; Chordata; Aves; Anseriformes; Anatidae
Description: lncRNA (ENSAPLG00000029581.1)
Source: RNAcentral